This 463-nucleotide ribosomal RNA is filed under the name Vreelandella stevensii. Its description in RNAcentral is "partial 16S ribosomal RNA". It matches the Rfam family "Bacterial small subunit ribosomal RNA", at positions 338 to 794 of the family's 1533-position model. Lineage: Bacteria; Pseudomonadati; Pseudomonadota; Gammaproteobacteria; Oceanospirillales; Halomonadaceae. The record is from RNAcentral.
CCUACGGGUGGCAGCAGUGGGGAAUAUUGGACAAUGGGCGAAAGCCUGAUCCAGCCAUGCCGCGUGUGUGAAGAAGGCCUUCGGGUUGUAAAGCACUUUCAGUGGGGAAGAAAGCCUUGGGGCUAAUACCCUCGAGGAAGGACAUCACCCACAGAAGAAGCACCGGCUAACUCCGUGCCAGCAGCCGCGGUAAUACGGAGGGUGCGAGCGUUAAUCGGAAUUACUGGGCGUAAAGCGCGCGUAGGCGGUCUGAUAAGCCGGUUGUGAAAGCCCCGGGCUCAACCUGGGAACGGCAUCCGGAACUGUCAGGCUAGAGUGCAGGAGAGGAAGGUAGAAUUCCCGGUGUAGCGGUGAAAUGCGUAGAGAUCGGGAGGAAUACCAGUGGCGAAGGCGGCCUUCUGGACUGACACUGACGCUGAGGUGCGAAAGCGUGGGUAGCAAACAGGAUUAGAUACCCCGUAGC